CAGGUGAAUUUACAGGGACAUCUUGGCAGAAAGUCUAUUACCUUCUGUUUACUUACUCUGUUUCACAAGAGACUUAAAGUCUUUUUAUGGGCAAAAAAGUUGGCCAUAAACAGAUGAAGAGCAAGUAAGCAAAAGACCAGGGAGAUGGGUUCCUCCAGCCCCCAGGCAAGCCGCAGCAUGCCCGCAGAGGCUGCACAGUCGGCCUGGCGUUCUCCGGACUCUGCUGCGCAUGCGUGCGCGCGUGCUUGGCGGUGGUGAAUAAAGGGUGGCGGGCGCAGUGCUGCAUCUCUGCUUCCGUGUGGUUGCUGUGCCAGAGUUGUUUCUAAGAAAAAGUUGUUAAUGAUAUGCCAACAGAUUAAGACCUCAGGCGAGUCGUUUUUUGAGAAUUCUGCACUUAAAAAGUUCCUUUUCUUAGUGUGAAUUUUCUCUUUCAGCCUAUA
RNAcentral lists this long non-coding RNA (440 nucleotides) under Bos taurus (domestic cattle). RNAcentral's name for it is "long non-coding RNA NONBTAT017295". Lineage: Eukaryota; Metazoa; Chordata; Mammalia; Artiodactyla; Bovidae. The record is from RNAcentral.